UGUUUUGUCUUUCUAGCAUGGAUGAGAAGAUUGCGACCAUUCAUCCACGACUUGGAGGAGGACCUGCGCGCAACAAUGUUGUUUGUCGUUACUGGAUGAUGGGAAAGUGUAAUAGGAACCCCUGUAGGUUCAUGCACAGAGAAUUGCCACCUCCUAAUGUUUAUCGAAGAACAUCUGAGCAACCCAAUCUUUUACGGAAGGAACAAUCGAUUAGGAGCCCUAGCCAUGGCCUCAAAAAUUCAUUGGCAUUGAGUGAUGGAUCUGAAGUUAAA
RNAcentral lists this unclassified non-coding RNA (272 nucleotides) under Hevea brasiliensis (rubber tree). Lineage: Eukaryota; Viridiplantae; Streptophyta; Magnoliopsida; Malpighiales; Euphorbiaceae. The record is from RNAcentral.